AACGAACGCUGGCGGCAUGCCUAACACAUGCAAGUCGAACGAGACCUCCGGGCCUAGUGGCGGUCCUCGGCGUACCACCUGGGGACUUGCCCUUGGGUUAGGUAUACCUCCCUUAAAGGGGUCCUAAUACCGGUUAAUGUCUUCGGGCCAAGGAGGUACCGCGUCUGGGUGGGCGCGCGUUAGUUUGGCGAGUUGGUAGGGUACAAGCCUACCAGGGCGAGGUUGCUUAGCUGGUAUGGGAGAAAGGUAAGCCACACUUGCACUGAGGCACGGCCCAGACUGGUAGGGGAGGCAGGAGUAGAGAAUAUUGGACAAGGGGCGAGAGCCUGAUCCAGCAGUGCCGCGUGAGUGAUGCAGGCGGUAGGGUUGUAAAGCUCUUUUACCCGGGAUGAUAAUGACGGUACCGGGAGAAGAAGCUCCGGCUAACUCCGUG
RNAcentral lists this ribosomal RNA (433 nucleotides) under uncultured bacterium. RNAcentral describes it as "partial 16S ribosomal RNA". It matches the Rfam family "Bacterial small subunit ribosomal RNA", at positions 29 to 507 of the family's 1533-position model. The record is from RNAcentral.